GGCGCACGGGUGAGUAACGCGUAUCCAACCUUCCCAUUACUGUGGGAUAACCUGCCGAAAGGCAGACUAAUACCGCAUAGUCUUCGAUGACGGCAUCAGAUUUGAAGUAAAGAUUUAUCGGUAAUGGAUGGGGAUGCGUCUGAUUAGCUUGUUGGCGGGGUAACGGCCCACCAAGGCUACGAUCAGUAGGGGUUCUGAGAGGAAGGUCCCCCACAUUGGAACUGAGACACGGUCCAAACUCCUACGGGAGGCAGCAGUGAGGAAUAUUGGUCAAUGGACGGAAGUCUGAACCAGCCAAGUAGCGUGCAGGAUGACGGCCCUAUGGGUUGUAAACUGCUUUUGUAUGGGGAUAAAGUUAGGGACGUGUCCCUAUUUGCAGGUACCAUACGAAUAAGGACCGGCUAAUUCCGUGCCAGCAGCCGCGGUAAUACGGAAGGUCCAGGCGUUAUCCGGAUUUAUUGGGUUUAAAGGGAGCGUAGGCUGGAGAUUAAGUGUGUUGUGAAAUGUAGACGCUCAACGUCUGAAUUGCAGCGCAUACUGGUUUCCUUGAGUACGCACAACGUUGGCGGAAUUCGUCGUGUAGCGGUGAAAUGCUUCGAUAUGACGAAGAACUCCGAUUGCGAAGGCAGCUGACGGGAGCGCAACUGACGCUUAAGCUCGAAGGUGCGGGUAUCAAACAGGAUUAGAUACCCUGGUAGUCCGCACAGUAAACGAUGGAUGCCCGCUGUUGGUACCUGGUAUCAGCGGCUAAGCGAAAGCAUUAAGCAUCCCACCU
This 775-nucleotide ribosomal RNA is filed under the name uncultured Bacteroidota bacterium. RNAcentral describes it as "bacterial SSU rRNA". It matches the Rfam family "Bacterial small subunit ribosomal RNA", at positions 97 to 874 of the family's 1533-position model. The record is from RNAcentral. Lineage: Bacteria; Pseudomonadati; Bacteroidota.